Molecule: long non-coding RNA, 967 nt
Filed under: Nicotiana benthamiana
Lineage: Eukaryota; Viridiplantae; Streptophyta; Magnoliopsida; Solanales; Solanaceae
Description: long non-coding RNA (NBEN_LNC005368)
Source: RNAcentral
GUCCAAAGGCAUGUUUUCCAAGAUCUUUGUACCGAUCGAAACGAACUCCCGGCACACAUUCAUGGAGCUGUAUCAUUUGCCACAUUGUGUGUAAGGUUAUACACCAUGAUAAGAUCAUAACGGCCGUCCCCGGACCCCUGAUGGACAAAGACAACUUUACUUCAACCACAGUAAAUAAAUCCUUUGAAGACAUAAUUAGGGACUAAAAGUAUGCUCCCUCUAAUAACUUAGGUUUUUUAAAAUGAGUUGAUCGCACAGUUUCAAUAUGGUAUCAAAGCAGACAAAACAGUCAAUUAAAAGUAUCUAGCCAACACGUGAGAAAGCAUUUUGUACCGAUCGAAACGAACUCCAGGCACACAUUCAUGGAGCUGUAUCAUUUGCCACAUUGUGUGUAAGGUUAUACACCAUGAUAAGAUCAUAACCGCCGUCCCUGGACCCCUGAUGGACAAAGACAGCUUUACUUCAACCACAGUAAAUAAGUCCGUUGAAGACAUAAUUAGGGAAUAAAAGUAUGCUCCCUCUAACAGCUUAAGUUUUUUAAAAUGAGUUGAUCGCACAGUUUCAAUAUGGUAUCAGAGCUGACAAAACUGUCAAUUAAAAGAAUCUAGCCAACACGUGAGAAAGCAUGUUGAAGACACAAUUAAGUAUAGAAGUGGCUCUCUUUAACGACUUAAGCUUUUAGACGGGAUAAUCACACAAUUCAAAUCAGUAGAACAAUUUUUAGGAUAAAUCCAACUUAAGUUUUAUUUUUGGGUUAUUCAAAUAAAUAACAACUUAAGUUUGCUUCCAUGUGACCAAGAGGUCAUGGGCUCAGCCGUGGAAACAGUCUAUUGCAGAAAUAGGGGUAAGGCAGCAUAUAAUAGACCCUUAUGGUCCGACCCCUUCCCGGAUCCCACAUAUAGCAGAAGCUUAUUACACACAUACCAUCCUAAGUAGGCCAUGGCAUAAGGCAAGCUAAGAACACCAG